GUGCCUUCUCGGUCUCAUGGCUAAGAUUAAGUGUAGUAUCUGUUAUAAUCAGUGUAAGAACUGAUUUAUGACUAUUAGGUCAGAUUUAUGUUCACAUUUAUUCUGAAGCGAUUCGGUAUAGCCACACACCCCUU
Molecule: small nuclear RNA, 134 nt
Filed under: Albugo candida
Lineage: Eukaryota; Oomycota; Peronosporomycetes; Albuginales; Albuginaceae
Description: U2 spliceosomal RNA
Rfam family: U2 spliceosomal RNA
About the family: U2 is a small nuclear RNA (snRNA) component of the spliceosome (involved in pre-mRNA splicing). Complementary binding between U2 snRNA (in an area lying towards the 5' end but 3' to hairpin I) and the branchpoint sequence (BPS) of the intron results the bulging out of an unpaired adenosine, on the BPS, which initiates a nucleophilic attack at the intronic 5' splice site, thus starting the first of two transesterification reactions that mediate splicing.
Source: Rfam by way of RNAcentral